GUGAGGAAUUUUCCGCAAUGGGCGAAAGCCUGACGGAGCAAUGCCGCGUGAAGGAUGAAGGCCUAUGGGUUGUAAACUUCUUUUCUCAGAAAAGAAUUAUGACGGUAUCUGAGGAAUAAGCAUCGGCUAACUCUGUGCCAGCAGCCGCGGUAAGACAGAGGAUGCAAGCGUUAUCCGGAAUGAUUGGGCGUAAAGCGUCUGUAGGUUGCUUAAAAAGUAUUCUGUCAAAGAUUAGGGCUUAACCCUAGAUAGGCAGAAUAAACUUUUAAGCUAGAGUUUGGUAGAGGCAGAGGGAAUUCCCGGUGGCGCGGUGAAAUGCGUAGAUAUCGGGAGGAACACCAAAGGCGAAGGCACUCUGCUGGGCCAAUACUAACACUGAGAGACGAAAGCGAGGGGAGCAAAUGGGAUUAGAAACCCUUGUAGUCC
This 426-nucleotide ribosomal RNA is filed under the name uncultured bacterium. RNAcentral describes it as "bacterial SSU rRNA". It matches the Rfam family "Bacterial small subunit ribosomal RNA", at positions 354 to 796 of the family's 1533-position model. The record is from RNAcentral.